UGAAUUUGCUCCUGUGAUUAUAAUCACUUUUCCACUCAAGUCACGACCCUGAAGUAUUUCCAUCGCAGUACUGUUUCCAUCAUAUUUUUGUCUAGUAGGUGGCUUUGCUGGAUUAUCUUCAACUGUAAAGGCCAAUCUUGGAUCCAGAUAGGUAGUUCUUUUGUUUAUGUGGUCUACAAAAUAGACCUGUCCAUUUUCAUCAGUCUCCUGCUCCCAUCCAUAUGGCAGACCUCCUGCAACACGUUUCCUCUUCCCAGACUUUGGAUGUUCCCACUGUGUUUUUUCUUCCAAGUGAUUGGCGUAGUAAACCCAGCCGUCCUUGGUGGUGCGCUCCUCCCAGCCCGGCGGCAGCUCUUCCUCGCUGUCCGUGUCCUCCAACCCCGCGUACUUCAGUGCUGCCAUUGGGACGAGCGAUCCGCACAGCCCCACUCUACCCCGCAC
Molecule: long non-coding RNA, 441 nt
Filed under: Gallus gallus (chicken)
Lineage: Eukaryota; Metazoa; Chordata; Aves; Galliformes; Phasianidae
Source: RNAcentral